Molecule: microRNA precursor, 59 nt
Filed under: Limulus polyphemus (Atlantic horseshoe crab)
Lineage: Eukaryota; Metazoa; Arthropoda; Merostomata; Xiphosura; Limulidae
Description: Lpo-Mir-124-P20_pre stem-loop
Rfam family: mir-124 microRNA precursor family
About the family: The mature ~21nt miRNAs are processed from hairpin precursor sequences represented here, in this case originating from the 3' arm.
Source: RNAcentral
CGUGUUCACUGUUGGCCUUGAUGUGUUGUUAGAACCAUAAGGCACGCGGUGAAUGCCAA